UACAGAGGGGGCAAGCGUUAUUCGGAAUUAUUGGGCGUAAAGGGCGCGUAGGCGGCUUUGCAAGUGACGGGUGAAAGCCCUCGGCUUAACCGAGGAACUGCCUGUCAGACUGUAAGGCUUGAGACCGGGAGAGGUGAGUGGAAUUCCCAGUGUAGCGGUGAAAUGCGUAGAUAUUGGGAGGAACACCGGUGGCGAAGGCGGCCCCCUGGACCGGUACUGACGCUGAGGCACGAAAGCGUGGGGAGCAAACAGG
This 253-nucleotide ribosomal RNA is filed under the name uncultured bacterium. RNAcentral describes it as "partial 16S ribosomal RNA". It matches the Rfam family "Bacterial small subunit ribosomal RNA", at positions 524 to 776 of the family's 1533-position model. The record is from RNAcentral.